Molecule: transfer RNA, 105 nt
Filed under: Daldinia decipiens
Lineage: Eukaryota; Fungi; Ascomycota; Sordariomycetes; Xylariales; Hypoxylaceae
Description: tRNA-Ile
Rfam family: tRNA
About the family: Transfer RNA (tRNA) molecules are approximately 80 nucleotides in length. Their secondary structure includes four short double-helical elements and three loops (D, anti-codon, and T loops).
Source: RNAcentral
GGUCCCAUAGCUCAGUUGGUUAGAGCGUCGUACUAAUAUCACCAAUAUAACUACUGGUAAUAUCUAGUAAUGCGAAGGCCGGCGGUUCGAGCCCGCCUGGGACCA